ACAAGAACAUAAUGAAACGUAACUAUAAGUGGAAGUAACAAAUAUCACACAUCUUGAAAUGAAGCAAAGGAUGAGAACACAUCAAAGAUAAAUUAGCAAAGGAUGAGAUCACAUCUUGGUCUAAAUAUGCUAGAGAGAAAUGAUGGCCUUAGCCAAUUAAACAAAAAAUAAUACAUUCUCACGUGAAACUCCUUGACAUGUAUCUAAAGUGACUCAAUCAACCUUGCAGGCAGGUCAAAUUCGGAGUUUGCUACAAACGACGCCGUCCAAGCAACAGAUUCAU
RNAcentral lists this long non-coding RNA (283 nucleotides) under Brassica rapa (field mustard). Its description in RNAcentral is "long non-coding RNA (BRAP_LNC000156)". The record is from RNAcentral. Lineage: Eukaryota; Viridiplantae; Streptophyta; Magnoliopsida; Brassicales; Brassicaceae.